Molecule: transfer RNA, 69 nt
Filed under: Crioceris duodecimpunctata (spotted asparagus beetle)
Lineage: Eukaryota; Metazoa; Arthropoda; Insecta; Coleoptera; Chrysomelidae
Description: tRNA-Gln
Rfam family: tRNA
About the family: Transfer RNA (tRNA) molecules are approximately 80 nucleotides in length.
Source: RNAcentral
UGUAUUUUAGUAUAAGAAGUACUAAGGUUUUUGAAGCCUUUAGCGAGGGUUUAACUCCCUCAAAUGCAU